This 433-nucleotide ribosomal RNA is filed under the name uncultured bacterium. Its description in RNAcentral is "partial 16S ribosomal RNA". It matches the Rfam family "Bacterial small subunit ribosomal RNA", at positions 29 to 507 of the family's 1533-position model. The record is from RNAcentral.
AACGAACGCUGGCGGCAUGCCUAACACAUGCAAGUCGAACGAUACCUUCGGGUCUAGUGGCGCACGGGUGCGUAACUCGUGGGAACCUGCCCUUAGGUUCGGAAUAACUCCCCGAAAGGGGUGCUAAUCCCGGAUAAUGUCUUCGGACCAGAGAUUUAUCGCCUUUGGAUGGGGCCGCGUUGGAUUAGCUUGUUGGUAGGGUAAAAGCCUACCAAGGCGACGAUCCAUAGCUGGUCUGGGAGGAGGAUCAGCCACACUGGGACUGAGACACGGCCCAGACUCCUACGGGAGGCAGCAGUGGGGAAUAUUGGACAAUGGGCGAAAGCCUGAUCCAGCAAUGCCGCGUGAGUGAUGAAGGCCUUAGGGUUGUAAAGCUCUUUUACCCGGGAUGAUAAUGACAGUACCGGGAUAAUAAGCUCCGGCUAACUCCGUG